This 491-nucleotide ribosomal RNA is filed under the name uncultured bacterium. RNAcentral's name for it is "partial 16S ribosomal RNA". It matches the Rfam family "Bacterial small subunit ribosomal RNA", at positions 29 to 507 of the family's 1533-position model. The record is from RNAcentral.
GUGAACGCUGGCGGUAGGCCUAACACAUGCAAGUCGAACGGCAGCACAGUAAGCGCUUGCUCUUACGGGUGGCGAGUGGCGGACGGGUGAGGAAUACAUCGGAAUCUACUUUUUCGUGGGGGAUAACGUAGGGAAACUUACGCUAAUACCGCAUACGACCUACGGGUGAAAGCAGGUGAUCUUCGGACCUUGCGCGAUUGAAUGAGCCGAUGUCGGAUUAGCUAGUUGGCGGGGUAAAGGCCCACCAAGGCGACGAUCCGUAGCUGGUCUGAGAGGAUGAUCAGCCACACUGGAACUGAGACACGGUCCAGACUCCUACGGGAGGCAGCAGUGGGGAAUAUUGGACAAUGGGCGCAAGCCUGAUCCAGCCAUACCGCGUGGGUGAAGAAGGCCUUCGGGUUGUAAAGCCCUUUUGUUGGGAAAGAAAAGCAGCAGGUUAAUACCCCGCUGUUCUGACGGUACCCAAAGAAUAAGCACCGGCUAACUUCGUG